Molecule: ribosomal RNA, 465 nt
Filed under: Vreelandella stevensii
Lineage: Bacteria; Pseudomonadati; Pseudomonadota; Gammaproteobacteria; Oceanospirillales; Halomonadaceae
Description: partial 16S ribosomal RNA
Rfam family: Bacterial small subunit ribosomal RNA
Source: RNAcentral
CCUACGGUGGGCUGCAGUGGGGAAUAUUGGACAAUGGGCGAAAGCCUGAUCCAGCCAUGCCGCGUGUGUGAAGAAGGCCUUCGGGUUGUAAAGCACUUUCAGUGGGGAAGAAAGCCUUGGGGCUAAUACCCUCGAGGAAGGACAUCACCCACAGAAGAAGCACCGGCUAACUCCGUGCCAGCAGCCGCGGUAAUACGGAGGGUGCGAGCGUUAAUCGGAAUUACUGGGCGUAAAGCGCGCGUAGGCGGUCUGAUAAGCCGGUUGUGAAAGCCCCGGGCUCAACCUGGGAACGGCAUCCGGAACUGUCAGGCUAGAGUGCAGGAGAGGAAGGUAGAAUUCCCGGUGUAGCGGUGAAAUGCGUAGAGAUCGGGAGGAAUACCAGUGGCGAAGGCGGCCUUCUGGACUGACACUGACGCUGAGGUGCGAAAGCGUGGGUAGCAAACAGGAUUAGAUACCCCGGUAGUC